GCACAACGCGAAGAACCUUACCUGGUCUUGACAUAGUAAGAACUUUCCAGAGAUGGAUUGGUGCCUUCGGGAACGUUACAUACAGGUGCUGCAUGGCUGUCGUCAGCUCGUGUCGUGAGAUGUUGGGUUAAGUCCCGCAACGAGCGCAACCCUUUCCUAUUUGCCAGCGGGUUAAGCCGGGAACUUUAAGGAUACUGCCAGUGACAAACUGGAGGAAGGCGGGGAACGGACGUCAAGUCAUCAUGGCCCUUAGACCAGGGCUACACACGUGCUACAAUGGUCGGUACAAAGGGUUGCUACCUAGCGAUAGGAUGCUAAUCUCAAAAAGCCGAUUGUAGUCCGGAUUGGAGUCUGCAACUC
RNAcentral lists this ribosomal RNA (360 nucleotides) under uncultured bacterium. RNAcentral's name for it is "bacterial SSU rRNA". It matches the Rfam family "Bacterial small subunit ribosomal RNA", at positions 954 to 1313 of the family's 1533-position model. The record is from RNAcentral.